UCUACCACCUGACAGUGUGUUAAAGUUAAAUUCUGUUAGUGCUGCACUAAAAGAAUUGUUAGUAAUAAGUCCAUGCAGCGAAGGAAUUGAACAAUUGUGGGACCGUAUUUGGGCUGAAAAUGGGUGUGGUACGGAAACCAAGAUAUGGCACAAGUUCAACAUGAAACAUGGAUUAGAAUUUAAUGGGGGAUCAAAUCAAGUCUGGAAGUGUUACAGGAUGGAAGAGUCAGCCUACAGAUGAAAAAACACAGAGUGCAUUACCAUUACGGUAUGAGGUAAAGUAAUAGAGUAUGCACAUUGUCUAAUGAGAAGUACCAUCUUGUGUUAAUAAAUCCAGUACAACAGCAAUCCUUUAUAGUUCUGUCACAGCUAGAAACCUCAAAUAAUUCUGCUUCUCUGUCUAAAGAACAACUUGUCCUUUACGUUCAGAGUGUUGGGGAAACUGGGUACUUAAAUGGCCCUAAAGAUGUUUUAAUUUUGCUGCCAUUGCAGAGAUGAACAUCAUACAUGGACUCUUUAGGUCUAAUCUACCAAAAAAAAUUUUAUCCAAUAGGAAAGGAUUUUCAUGUACUGGGAACACAACUAUCAACAAUGCAACAUUAUACAGGUGCUAGUUUAUCAUUCAAGAGCCUUAUACAAUGAUGUUAAUCUGCAAUUUGUAUGUCCUUCCCCAAGCUUCCACCAGAAGUUGAAUCUAUGAGUCAUGUAAGUUACAUGAUCAACAGUUGAUAUGUUUAAUGGUGUUGUUUUUCUUUUCUCAAUAUAGGUUAAUAGUAACAUUGGAUCUGAAAAAAUUCUUGGUUGGGGCAAGACACUGAAUAAAUUGUAUUGAUUGGAUGGAUGACAUGACAUUUCUAUACUUAAUUCGGAUUCCCCAGACGGUAUUUGAUAUUAAAAAAAUUGAAGUGCAUAUCUGGGCUCCCUUCUUUUCUGAAGCCCCGUUUCCCCUUGACUCGUAAUAAGCCCGUAGGGGGUCAUGCCCCUACUGUACGGUAUAUAUAAAAACAACAUAUACCGAGGUUUGGAGGGCUCUGGCCGGAAAGGGGACGUGGGGUGCCGCUUAGUCCGAUGAUGUGUUCACGGAGGGCGAUGUGGCUACCCACAAAUCCGAACUAAAGGUUAAUCGCUCCUGUAAAAAUGUUCCAAAUCUUCAGCUCUUCUUCCGGCUUCUCUUAGCCAAUCACCGGGUAAUCUCCCCGGUGGGUCAACAAGGCAGUGUCUCCCCCUGCCUGGGUUGACGGCAACUUUUGAAAAGGCUAUUGUGCCUUUUUAAAGUUGCAAAAAUAAUUGUA
Long non-coding RNA from Daphnia carinata, 1292 nucleotides. RefSeq lists it as uncharacterized. NCBI's taxonomy places the organism in Eukaryota, Metazoa, Arthropoda, Branchiopoda, Diplostraca, Daphniidae. The record is from RefSeq and is a predicted model, not a curated record. The transcript is spliced from 3 exons.